UGGCGAAGGUCCCAGCAGAGGGGUAUAGACUCGAUAGUGAGACCUCUCUAACGAUAAUAAAAACCUUCGUAGAAUGAGAUCCUUCACUUGGAUUGGCCAAUUCGUAGACGCUUGAAUGAUUUUUAGAGUAUUCAACGCGUCCAAAACCUUGGCUACAUUGCU
This is a small nucleolar RNA of Magnolia sinica, 162 nucleotides long. RefSeq annotates it as small nucleolar RNA snoR145. Lineage: Eukaryota; Viridiplantae; Streptophyta; Magnoliopsida; Magnoliales; Magnoliaceae. The transcript has a single exon. The record is from RefSeq and is a predicted model, not a curated record.